UGAGUGGGUGCCAGGAAGUCUAAGCUGAAU
Molecule: non-coding RNA, 30 nt
Filed under: Mus musculus (house mouse)
Lineage: Eukaryota; Metazoa; Chordata; Mammalia; Rodentia; Muridae
Source: RNAcentral